RNAcentral lists this ribosomal RNA (482 nucleotides) under uncultured bacterium. RNAcentral describes it as "bacterial SSU rRNA". It matches the Rfam family "Bacterial small subunit ribosomal RNA", at positions 29 to 506 of the family's 1533-position model. The record is from RNAcentral.
UUGAACGCUGGCGGCAUGCCUUACACAUGCAAGUCGAGCGGCAGCGCGGGGGCAACCCUGGCGGCGAGCGGCGAACGGGUGAGUAAUACAUUGGAACGUGUCCAGUAGCGGGGGAUAACCUGUCGAAAGAUAGGCUAAUACCGCAUACGAUCUACGGAUGAAAGCGGGGGACCGCAAGGCCUCGCACUGUUGGAGCGGCCGAUGUCGGAUUAGCUAGUUGGCGGGGUAAAAGCCCACCAAGGCGACGAUCCGUAGCUGGUCUGAGAGGACGACCAGCCACACUGGAACUGAGACACGGUCCAGACUCCUACGGGAGGCAGCAGUGGGGAAUUUUGGACAAUGGGCGCAAGCCUGAUCCAGCCAUGCCGCGUGAGUGAAGAAGGCCUUCGGGUUGUAAAGCUCUUUCGGCGGGGACGAAACGGUUCGUGCUAACAACGCGAACUAAUGACAGUACUCGCAGAAGAAGCACCGGCUAACUACGU